GAGUGGCGUGUGGAGGGGUCGAGGAGUGGUUAGAUGGAGGGAGGAAAUGGCAUGGGCAGGUCCGGCGCGCACUGCAUUGGUGACCCAAAACAGGCUCCGUGGGUUUUCUGGCUUGGGUUUGGCAGACUGGGGGAGCACGCCGGACGCGGUCAGUGCGAGGAGAGAGAGAAAGAGGGAGGGAGGGGCCGUUGGGGGUAGGUCAGGCAUGCUGCUGCCACUGGGCGUUCACGCUGUCUGUCGCUCAUGGUGCCGCGCUUUGAGAUUCAGAGCGAGUCGUGGCUUGUUGGUGGUGGCUCAACUCCGACGGCAACAGGAUUUGAGAAACGAACCAUGGAAACGGCAGGAAUUAUGAAAGCUUUGUUUCACUUGGCUGCUGGUGCGUAACGCAGCAGGUGUCUCGUUGGAGUCCAUUUUUUUUUCUAGAAACCGUUGGAGUCCAAGUGUGGUGCACGAGGUUGCGCCAGGCCGUCCAAGCUGCUCUCGCACAAAAAUAAAGAGGGUUGUCACACUUGUCUUGCUCUCUCUCUCUCUAAAAAAAAACACUUGUCUUGCACCCA
This is a long non-coding RNA of Hordeum vulgare subsp. vulgare (domesticated barley), 557 nucleotides long. RefSeq lists it as uncharacterized. The transcript has 2 exons. The record is from RefSeq and is a predicted model, not a curated record. Lineage: Eukaryota; Viridiplantae; Streptophyta; Magnoliopsida; Poales; Poaceae.